GGAGAGUGGAGCCCUGAUCCAGUCUUGAAAACUGUCGUGGCUUCGCGCCACCGUGGGUUCAAAUCCCACACCCUCCG
The sequence is a transfer RNA, 77 nucleotides long. It matches the Rfam family "tRNA". Rfam says of the family: Transfer RNA (tRNA) molecules are approximately 80 nucleotides in length. Their secondary structure includes four short double-helical elements and three loops (D, anti-codon, and T loops).